CAGCACCUCAAGUGGUCAGGAUGAUUAUUGGGCCUAAAGCAUCCGUAGCCUGCUUUGUAAGUUUUCGGUUAAAUCCAUACGCUCAACGUAUGGGCUGCCGGGAAUACUGCAGCGCUAGGGAGUGGGAGAGGUAGACGGUACUCGGUAGGAAGGGGUAAAAUCCUUUGAUCUAUUGAUGACCACCUGUGGCGAAGGCGGUCUACCAGAACACGUCCGACGGUGAGGGAUGAAAGCUGGGGGAGCAAACCGGAUUAGAUACCCGAGUAGUCC
This 270-nucleotide ribosomal RNA is filed under the name uncultured archaeon. RNAcentral's name for it is "partial 16S ribosomal RNA". It matches the Rfam family "Archaeal small subunit ribosomal RNA", at positions 477 to 747 of the family's 1478-position model. The record is from RNAcentral.